RNAcentral lists this ribosomal RNA (254 nucleotides) under uncultured bacterium. RNAcentral describes it as "partial 16S ribosomal RNA". It matches the Rfam family "Bacterial small subunit ribosomal RNA", at positions 524 to 776 of the family's 1533-position model. The record is from RNAcentral.
UACGGGGGGAGCAAGCGUCGUUCGGAUUUACUGGGCGUAAAGGGCGCGUAGGCGGCCAGUGCAAGUCAGUUGUGAAAUCUCCGGGCUUAACUCGGAAAGGUCAACUGAUACUGCUCGGCUAGAGUGCGGAAGGGGCAACUGGAAUUCUUGGUGUAGCGGUGAAAUGCGUAGAUAUCAAGAGGAACACCUGCGGCGAAGGCGGGUUGCUGGGCCGACACUGACGCUGAUGCGCGAAAGCUAGGGGAGCGAACGGG